RNAcentral lists this ribosomal RNA (727 nucleotides) under Rhodococcus sp. SC4s19. Its description in RNAcentral is "partial 16S ribosomal RNA". It matches the Rfam family "Bacterial small subunit ribosomal RNA", at positions 62 to 806 of the family's 1533-position model. Lineage: Bacteria; Bacillati; Actinomycetota; Actinomycetes; Mycobacteriales; Nocardiaceae. The record is from RNAcentral.
UCGAGCGGUAAGGCCCUUCGGGGUACACGAGCGGCGAACGGGUGAGUAACACGUGGGUGAUCUGCCCUGCACUUCGGGAUAAGCCUGGGAAACUGGGUCUAAUACCGGAUAUGACCAAGGACUGCAUGGUUUUUGGUGGAAAGGUUUACUGGUGCAGGAUGGGCCCGCGGCCUAUCAGCUUGUUGGUGGGGUAAUGGCCUACCAAGGCGACGACGGGUAGCCGACCUGAGAGGGUGACCGGCCACACUGGGACUGAGACACGGCCCAGACUCCUACGGGAGGCAGCAGUGGGGAAUAUUGCACAAUGGGCGAAAGCCUGAUGCAGCGACGCCGCGUGAGGGAUGACGGCCUUCGGGUUGUAAACCUCUUUCAGCAGGGACGAAGCGAGAGUGACGGUACCUGCAGAAGAAGCACCGGCUAACUACGUGCCAGCAGCCGCGGUAAUACGUAGGGUGCAAGCGUUGUCCGGAAUUACUGGGCGUAAAGAGNUCGUAGGCGGUUUGUCGCGUCNUNNGUGAAAACUCNNNGCUCANCNNNNAGCNUGCAGGCGAUACGGGCAGACUUGAGUACUGCAGGGGAGACUGGAAUUCCUGGUGUAGCGGUGAAAUGCGCAGAUAUCAGGAGGAACACCGGUGGCGAAGGCGGGUCUCUGGGCAGUAACUGACGCUGANGANCNAAAGCGUGGGUAGCNAACAGGAUUAGAUACCCUGGUAGUCCACGCCGUAAA